This 240-nucleotide unclassified non-coding RNA is filed under the name soil metagenome. RNAcentral describes it as "partial contains 5.8S ribosomal RNA, internal transcribed spacer 2, and large subunit ribosomal RNA". The record is from RNAcentral.
AAGACUAUAGACCUGCGGAGUACCUGCGGAGGGAUCAUUACCGAGUUGAGAAAAAAACUCCCAAACCCCAGUGUGAACGUUACCAACCCGUUGCCUCGGCGGGUCACCCCUCCCUGCCCCGGGCGCGUCGCAGCCCCCGGGUUCCAGGGCGCCCGCCGGAGGACCAACUCGCAAACCCUUUUAUCUGUAUCUCUCCUUACCCUCUGAGCCUUUCUCGGCGCCCCCAGCGGGCGUUCCGAA